UCCCGGGUUACCCCACCAGCCCGACCUCAACCCCCUCGCGUCCACAGCACGAGCCCCAGCGGCCUUGCGCGGUGCUUACUCUCUAGUAGCGGCUUACUAGGUCAGGCAGGAUCUUUGAUUUUGGAGCACAAGGCUUCUGCGUGCUACUGACUGGGUCCUGGCCUCCCUCCUUCCAUGGCACCGUCGUGAAUGGGAAUUUCCGCCACUGCCUCCAUUAGUCAGAAGACUGAACAUGUUGUAACUGUAGAAAGUCCAUCAUCCUUGUGUAUGCACUUGAAAGAUCCACUGAAGAGCAACCUUCGUGAACAUUACCAGGGGACUUGUGCUCCUAUAAAACGCAGUUUUCCUCACUGCAAGGUGGGUCUCUCACACCGCAAUGGACUAUCUGUGAUCACAGAGCACUUCUUCCCUGGGCCUUCCCUAUCACACUGAUGGCGUGAGUAUGUAGGGCAGGGGUGGGAGUAAACAUGUUAAUCUC
This 478-nucleotide non-coding RNA is filed under the name Pongo abelii (Sumatran orangutan). Lineage: Eukaryota; Metazoa; Chordata; Mammalia; Primates; Hominidae. The record is from RNAcentral.